Molecule: transfer RNA, 68 nt
Filed under: Diplodactylus vittatus
Lineage: Eukaryota; Metazoa; Chordata; Lepidosauria; Squamata; Diplodactylidae
Description: tRNA-Trp
Source: RNAcentral
AGACACUUAGGUUAACACAAACCAGAGGCCUUCAAAGCCUCAAAUAGGGCCAUCCCCCCUAGUCUCUG